GCCAGGUGUGGUGGCUCACACCUGUAAUCCUAGCACUUUGGGAGGCCGAGGCAGGUGGAUCACCUGAGGUCAGGAGUUCGAGACCAGCCUGGCCAACAUGGUGAAACCCUGUCUCUA
RNAcentral lists this non-coding RNA (117 nucleotides) under Pan troglodytes (chimpanzee). Lineage: Eukaryota; Metazoa; Chordata; Mammalia; Primates; Hominidae. The record is from Rfam by way of RNAcentral.